Molecule: transfer RNA, 95 nt
Filed under: Comamonas sp. KCTC 72670
Lineage: Bacteria; Pseudomonadati; Pseudomonadota; Betaproteobacteria; Burkholderiales; Comamonadaceae
Description: tRNA-Leu
Source: RNAcentral
GCGUCCGGGGCUUGGCCGGCGCCGCGGGCUUCAGGCGCCCGCGAUGGGCGUCAUCACCUGCAGCCAGCUCUGGUUCUGCUUCUGCCGGGCGAGCC